AGGCGCUUAGUUUAAAAAAAACAUUUGAUUUCGGCUCAGAAGAUUACGGUUAAACUCCGUAUUUGUCUA
Molecule: transfer RNA, 69 nt
Filed under: Macropharyngodon negrosensis (yellowspotted wrasse)
Lineage: Eukaryota; Metazoa; Chordata; Actinopteri; Labriformes; Labridae
Description: tRNA-Arg
Rfam family: tRNA
About the family: Transfer RNA (tRNA) molecules are approximately 80 nucleotides in length. Their secondary structure includes four short double-helical elements and three loops (D, anti-codon, and T loops).
Source: RNAcentral